CGUAGGUGGCAAGCGUUGUCCGGAAUUAUUGGGCGUAAAGCGCGCGCAGGCGGUCAGGUAAGUCUGGUGUCAAAGCCCGGGGCUCAACCCCGGUACGCAUUGGAAACUAGCCUGACUUGAGUGCAGAAGAGGAAAGCGGAAUUCCACGUGUAGCGGUGAAAUAGCGUAGAGAUGUGGAGGAACACCAGUGGCGAAGGCGGCUUUCUGGUCUGUAACUGACGCUGAGGCGCGAAAGCGUGGGGAGCAAACAGGAUU
Molecule: ribosomal RNA, 255 nt
Filed under: uncultured bacterium
Lineage: Bacteria
Description: partial 16S ribosomal RNA
Rfam family: Bacterial small subunit ribosomal RNA
Source: RNAcentral